GAUGAACGCUGGCGGCGUGCCUAACACAUGCAAGUCGAGCGAUUCUCUUCGGAGAAGAGCGGCGGACGGGUGAGUAACGCGUGGGUAACCUGCCCUGUACACACGGAUAACAUACCGAAAGGUAUGCUAAUACGGGAUAACAUAAGAAAUUCGCAUGUUUUUCUUAUCAAAGCUCCGGCGGUACAGGAUGGACCCGCGUCUGAUUAGCUAGUUGGUGAGGUAACGGCUCACCAAGGCGACGAUCAGUAGCCGACCUGAGAGGGUGAUCGGCCACAUUGGAACUGAGACACGGUCCAAACUCCUACGGGAGGCAGCAGUGGGGAAUAUUGCACAAUGGGCGAAAGCCUGAUGCAGCAACGCCGCGUGAGCGAUGAAGGCCUUCGGGUCGUAAAGCUCUGUCCUCAAGGAAGAUAAUGACGGUACUUGAGGAGGAAGCCCCGGCUAACUACGUGCCAGCCGCCGCGGUAA
RNAcentral lists this ribosomal RNA (468 nucleotides) under uncultured bacterium. RNAcentral's name for it is "partial 16S ribosomal RNA". It matches the Rfam family "Bacterial small subunit ribosomal RNA", at positions 28 to 523 of the family's 1533-position model. The record is from RNAcentral.